GUGGGCUGCCUAACUCGCAUUUCUUCUGGAACAGUUGGAAUUCGAGUGGGGACCAAGCCAGGCCCACGGGCCAAUUCCUGGGCCUGGGAGAGCUCACAUCCUUCUGGCUUCUUCUGCCCCUGGAAUUCUGAAGAUGGCUCCCUGUAGGUAGUGGCUGCUACUUUCCUGCCCCGGCUGGGGAGCCAGUGAGUAUCGUUUGUUUUCCACUUGAUCAAGUGCCUUCAAGGGAGCUUCACGAUGUGCUCAGGCUCAGGCUGGGCUUGGAUCCUCAGCACGUAGCAGUAUUGCUAUUGUGCUUCCAUUUCACGGAUGAGGAAGAGGAGACUCUGAGACAGCAGUGUGCAGGAUCCAGAGCCAGUUGUUAAACUUGCAGGGUGGCAGCCUGAGGGGAGGAGAAGGACCCACAUUUUCUUGGAGCCUUGUCAUGAACUUAUCCUUUUGAUGAUGAUAUUUUAAAUAGCAUAUGGAAUUAUAAUUCAAAUCUUCUAGAGGCUUUCCCUCUUCUACCACUUUGUGGAUCAUUUUAAAUAUGAAGAGGCUGGGGGCGGGGCUCCCUCUUCUGUGAUUUGCAGGUAUAGUCCUGAUCCUUGGUCAUUAGGUUUGCUGAGGGGUUGACUGACCCAGGUGCUCCACCUUUGAAAUUGUCCCCAUGCAACCUACCGUUCCCUGUAUCAGUCACAGGAGUUCUGUGUGUGUGUGUGUAUUGGUGGGGGGAUGUGGGACAAUGCACCUCCAAAAAUGGAAUUUUCUCUCUCCGUCUCUGCUUCACUUAGUGUUGAACAAGCCAGCAUCCGAUGACCUUCUGCUAGUAUCAUGUCUGGGGCUGUGAUCCUGACUGCACAGGACCUGUGGAGAACUGUAACUCACCUUAAUAGGAAUCUUCUGAAAACGUUGGAGGAAAGGAAUGUAAACUGGUCUUAUUGCCCUUGGUAACCAUAAUAGAAGUAUUUGACCCCAACAGGUAUUUCCCCCCCAGGUGUGGAAGGCUUUUUGUUUUCUCAUUUCACAGGUAGGACCAAAUAUAGCUGCAGCAGGGAGAGUCCCAGAUGUGGUUGUCUGUAUGUGUGUGGAGAGAAGUUGCUGGUGUCACUCAGGGAAGUCAGAGAAGAUUGUUUUCCUUUCCACAGACAAACUUUCUUCUUAAGAGGUACUCAAAGGCUUCUCAUUUGCAAAAAAAAAAAAAAAAAAAAAUCUUUCUGAAGCAACAAGUUUGUGAGCUUAAGUGCUUCUUAGCUCAUGACAAGGAUCAGUAACAUCGUGGGAGACCGUGCAGUCCAAUAUGGGAACCACCAGCCACAUAAGCAUAUGUGCAUUUAAAGUCAGGGACCACAUAAUGAUGUUUGAUUAGUUAUGAUGAACUGCAUAUAUGAUGGUGGUCCCAUGAGAUUUUAUCACCUACUGAUGUCAUAGCUGUCUCAGUUUGUGUAAAUACAUCAUAUGAUUUCACACAAUGAUGAAAUUGCCUAACUACGCAUUUCUCAUAGCAUAUCUCCAUCAUGAAGCAAAGCGUUACUUCUAAUUAAAAUGAAAUCAAAUUAAAUCUUCAGUUCCUCAGUUGCUUUAGUUAUAUUUCAAGGGCUCAAUAGCAUACAUGAAUAGUGGCUACCAUGCUGGACAGAGCAGCUACAGGACAUUUCCAGCAUUCCAGAACAUUCUAUUGGAUGGUGUUACUCUAAGACAAACCUCAUAACAGAAGUUGCCUAAUUGGUCCCAGACAGUGGGGAGCAGCUCCACCUUUGAAAUUGUCCCCAUGCAACCUACUGUUCCCUGUAUCAGUCACAGGAGUGACUAACCUUACCCUGAGGGCCCUGGGUAAGGUUAGAGUGAGGAUAUAGUCUUAUAAAUCUGUACAGAUGCACAGGUAAAGUCACUGGAGUGAAAGCUGAAUUCAUUAAGUCCCAAGUUUUCAGUGCUAUUAUAAGAUGACAUAUGAUGACACUUUAAUAAAUAUUUAUUUCUUAAAUAUUCCACUUGGUUCAAUGUCACUUGAG
Molecule: long non-coding RNA, 1991 nt
Filed under: Marmota monax (woodchuck)
Lineage: Eukaryota; Metazoa; Chordata; Mammalia; Rodentia; Sciuridae
Source: RNAcentral